RNAcentral lists this non-coding RNA (28 nucleotides) under Bombyx mori (domestic silkworm). Lineage: Eukaryota; Metazoa; Arthropoda; Insecta; Lepidoptera; Bombycidae. The record is from RNAcentral.
GACGCACUAAAAUACAACUUUCACAUUG